Molecule: ribosomal RNA, 900 nt
Filed under: uncultured bacterium
Lineage: Bacteria
Description: bacterial SSU rRNA
Rfam family: Bacterial small subunit ribosomal RNA
Source: RNAcentral
AGAGUUUGAUCCUGGCUCAGGAUGAACGCUGGCGGCGUGCCUAAUACAUGCAAGUCGAACGAGGUGCUUUUGUAGCAAUACGAGAGUAUCCUAGUGGCGAACGGGUGAGUAACGCGUUGGUGACCUGCCCCAAAGUGUGGGAUAACAGUCCGAAAGGAUUGCUAAUACCUCAUGUGGCCAUCGGGUUUAGAAGCCGAUGUCUAAAGCAGCAAUGCGCUUUGGGAGGGAUCUGCGUCCCAUCAGCUAGUUGGUGAGGUAACGGCUCACCAAGGCGACGACGGGUAGGGGACCUGAGAGGGUGGCCCCCCACAAUGGAACUGAAACACGGUCCAUACACCUACGGGUGGCAGCAGUAGGGAAUAUUGCUCAAUGGGCGAAAGCCUGAAGCAGCAACGCCGCGUGUGCGAUGAAGGCCUUCGGGUCGUAAAGCACUUUUCUGAGAGAUGAGAAAGGACAGUAUCUCAGGAAUAAGUCUCGGCUAACUACGUGCCAGCAGCCGCGGUAAAACGUAGGAGGCGAGCGUUAUCCGGAUUCACUGGGCGUAAAGCGCGUGCAGGCGGUUCGGUAAGUUGGGCGUGAAAUCUCCUGGCUUAACUAGGAGAGGUCGUUCAAUACUACCGAGCUUGAGAGUGGUAGAGGAAGAUGGAAUUCCAGGUGUAGUGGUGAAAUGCGUAGAUAUCUGGAGGAACACCAGUGGCGAAAGCGAUCUUCUGGACCAUUUCUGACGCUCAGACGCGAAAGCUAGGGUAGUAAACGGGAUUAGAGACCCCGGUAAUCCUAGCCGUAAACGAUGUAAACUUGGCGUUGGUGGCUUAAACUCCAUCAGUGCCGCAGCUAACGCGAUAAGUUUACCGCCUGGGGACUACGAUCGCAAGAUUAAAACUCAAAGGAAUUGACGGG